RNAcentral lists this small RNA (699 nucleotides) under Pongo abelii (Sumatran orangutan). RNAcentral describes it as "processed transcript". Lineage: Eukaryota; Metazoa; Chordata; Mammalia; Primates; Hominidae. The record is from RNAcentral.
GACCCUUGAGAAAUUAGCAACUUAAGGUGGGGACAGACACAUAGAUGGCUAAUUGUAAUUCGGUAUGGUGAGUACUCUUAACAGAGAAUUGUUUUUAAAAAUCCUACUGGCUCAAAAAUCAGAAAAAUAUCAUUUCUGCCCAAAGAGAUGUCAGGGAAGAAUAUGGAGAGGAGGAAGACCUGGAAGGCUGAGUUAGGAAGGAAAGAAUUAUAACUAGAUUUGAAUGUGGUCGAAGACAGGACGUUUAUUUCCAGGCCCCUUAUGUGAGGUAUGGUUUGAGCAGGAGCUUGAGAUUGCAGUGGCAGGGUCCCCUCAGGCUAUUGGGAGCAUUUAUUUCUCCUUGAAACAUGAAGCCUCCUAGGAGGCCUGCGUGUGCUGUUUGGUGGAUACGUGACCAUGGAGCUUGGGAGGCCGCAGGUUUCUCUGCACCCAGCCUCACUGAGCUGUUUUCUCUGUCUCUGUUUCCCCAGCUCGGAGUCCAGUGUUUUCCCACUUAUCAUCAUCUCUCCAGGGGCUCUGGACCAUCCGGGCAUACAAAGCAGAAGAGAGGUGUCAGGAACUGUUUGAUGCACACCAGGAUUUACAUUCAGAGGCUUGGUUCUUGUUUUUGACAACGUCCCGCUGGUUCGCCGUCCGUCUGGAUGCCAUCUGUGCCAUGUUUGUCAUCAUCGUUGCCUUUGGGUCCCUGAUUCUGGCAAA